AGUCGAGCGGUAACAGGAAUUAGCUUGCUAAUUUGCUGACGAGCGGCGGACGGGUGAGUAACGCGUAGGAAUCUGCCUGGUAGUGGGGGACAACAUGUGGAAACGCAUGCUAAUACCGCAUACGCCCUACGGGGGAAAGGAGGGGAUCUUCGGACCUUUCGCUAUCAGAUGAGCCUGCGUGAGAUUAGCUAGUUGGUGGGGUAAAGGCUCACCAAGGCGACGAUCUCUAGCUGGUCUGAGAGGAUGAUCAGCCACACUGGGACUGAGACACGGCCCAGACUCCUACGGGAGGCAGCAGUGGGGAAUAUUGGACAAUGGGCGCAAGCCUGAUCCAGCCAUGCCGCGUGUGUGAAGAAGGCCUUCGGGUUGUAAAGCACUUUCAGAAGUGAGGAGGGGUGUG
This 400-nucleotide ribosomal RNA is filed under the name uncultured Oceanospirillaceae bacterium. RNAcentral describes it as "bacterial SSU rRNA". It matches the Rfam family "Bacterial small subunit ribosomal RNA", at positions 60 to 456 of the family's 1533-position model. Lineage: Bacteria; Pseudomonadati; Pseudomonadota; Gammaproteobacteria; Oceanospirillales; Oceanospirillaceae. The record is from RNAcentral.